RNAcentral lists this ribosomal RNA (465 nucleotides) under uncultured bacterium. RNAcentral's name for it is "bacterial SSU rRNA". It matches the Rfam family "Bacterial small subunit ribosomal RNA", at positions 338 to 795 of the family's 1533-position model. The record is from RNAcentral.
CCUACGGGUGGCACCAGUGGGGAAUAUUGCACAAUGGGCGCAAGCCUGAUGCAGCCAUGCCGCGUGUAUGAAGAAGGCCUUCGGGUUGUAAAGUACUUUCAGCGGGGAGGAAGGUGUUGAGGUUAAUAACCUCAGCAAUUGACGUUACCCGCAGAAGAAGCACCGGCUAACUCCGUGCCAGCAGCCGCGGUAAUACGGAGGGUGCAAGCGUUAAUCGGAAUUACUGGGCGUAAAGCGCACGCAGGCGGUCUGUCAAGUCGGAUGUGAAAUCCCCGGGCUCAACCUGGGAACUGCAUUCGAAACUGGCAGGCUAGAGUCUUGUAGAGGGGGGUAGAAUUCCAGGUGUAGCGGUGAAAUGCGUAGAGAUCUGGAGGAAUACCGGUGGCGAAGGCGGCCCCCUGGACAAAGACUGACGCUCAGGUGCGAAAGCGUGGGGAGCAAACAGGAUUAGAUACCCGUGUAGUC